UACAGAGGUCCCAAGCGUUGUUCGGAUUCACUGGGCGUAAAGGGUGCGUAGGUGGCGAGGUAAGUCGGAUGUGAAAUCUCCGAGCUCAACUCGGAAAUGGCAUUGGAAACUACCUUGCUCGAGGGUUGGAGGGGGGACUGGAAUACUUGGUGUAGCAGUGAAAUGCGUAGAUAUCAAGUGGAACACCAGUGGCGAAGGCGAGUCCCUGGACAACUCCUGACACUGAGGCACGAAAGCCAGGGGAGCAAACGGG
Molecule: ribosomal RNA, 253 nt
Filed under: uncultured bacterium
Lineage: Bacteria
Description: partial 16S ribosomal RNA
Rfam family: Bacterial small subunit ribosomal RNA
Source: RNAcentral